Ctenopharyngodon idella (grass carp) is the source of this 779-nucleotide long non-coding RNA. RefSeq lists it as uncharacterized. The transcript is spliced from 4 exons. The record is from RefSeq and is a predicted model, not a curated record. Lineage: Eukaryota; Metazoa; Chordata; Actinopteri; Cypriniformes; Xenocyprididae.
UGGAUUUUUCUCAGUUUUUCUUCUGUUCAUUCUGUUCACUGCAGGUACAAAGACAAAUAGUUUUUAUAAUGAUCCUAAGUUCGACUACAGAUCAUAUUUUUCCACUAAGUGUUAUGAGUGCACGUAUCUGAUGGAUUAUUGUGUGAAAAAACCAGUGCAAUGUCCCAUUGGAUUUUACAACUGCUUCAGCUCAACAACGGUAAUGGAAAUCGGUAACUUUAGUAUUGAAACUCAGAAAAAUAAAUGUUCUGUUGGCUGUAGAAGUGGGUCCUUGAACUUUGGCGAUGUAAAGGUGUCUGCUUCCUGCUGUGGCACUAACUUUUGUAAUGCCAAAAAUCCAGAUCCCCGAAAGAACACUCCUAAUGGAAAUAAAUGUUGCUAUUGUGAUGGUCAGAGCUGCUCAAACAUAUUGAGCUGUUCAGGGACUGAAGACCGCUGCCUUACAUCUACAGUGAUUGUAGAAGGCCUACCAACGGUUCUAAAAGGGUGUGCCUCUAAAAGUUUCUGUGAUACCCCAAAUUCUGCUAUUAUUAUGGACAUCUCAUGCUGUAAGGGAAACCUGUGUAAUGGUGAUACCCAGGGCAUCACCCAGAGCUCCAUAUAUAACGGUGCUCAGAGCAUCACCCAGAGCUUCCUGUUCCUCUGCUGUUCUCUGCUCUUCUACUUCCUGCUGCACUGAAUCCAGCAGCUCUUCUCAUUCUACAAUGAGACACGCUGUACUGAUUAUAUGCUGUAUUUCUUUGUACUAUCAUCAUUUCAUUAUUCAAAUGAAAAAUCUU